UGGGGAAUAUUGGACAAUGGGCGAAAGCCUGAUCCAGCCAUGCCGCGUGUGUGAAGAAGGUCUUCGGAUUGUAAAGCACUUUAAGUUGGGAGGAAGGGCAGUAAGCGAAUACCUUGCUGUUUUGACGUUACCGACAGAAUAAGCACCGGCUAACUCUGUGCCAGCAGCCGCGGUAAUACAGAGGGUGCAAGCGUUAAUCGGAAUUACUGGGCGUAAAGCGCGCGUAGGUGGUUCGUUAAGUUGAAUGUGAAAGCCCCGGGCUCAACCUGGGAACUGCAUCCAAAACGGGCGAGCUAGAGUAGGGCAGAGGGUGGUGGAAUGUCCUGUGUAGCGGUGAAAUGCGUAGAUAUAGGAAGGAACAGCAGUGGCGAAGGCGACCACCUGGGCUCAUACUGACACUGAGGUGCGAAAGCGUGGGGAGCAAACAGG
Molecule: ribosomal RNA, 429 nt
Filed under: Pseudomonadota bacterium
Lineage: Bacteria; Pseudomonadati; Pseudomonadota
Description: Proteobacteria bacterium partial 16S ribosomal RNA
Rfam family: Bacterial small subunit ribosomal RNA
Source: RNAcentral